GUUAAAUAUUUUUUUUCAUCAAUAAUUUUAUUUGUUUUUAUUUUAAUUUUGAUUCUUAUUUACUUAAAUUGUGCCAUUCUGUAUACAGUGGAACAUGUAUUGUAUUUUAAAGACUAUUAAACACAUGCACACAUGUUUAUAAUCUAAAUAGUAAAAAGUAAAAUCACAAAAAUACUGAACUCCGAGGAAAAUUCAAAACGGAAAGUCCAUAAUCAAAUGACAAAAUCAAAUGAUAAAACACACCAAAUGAAUGGACAACAACUGUCAUAUUCCUGACUUGGUACAGGCAUUUUCAAAUGUAGAAAAUGGUGGAUUGAAUUUGGUUUUAUAGCGCUAAACCUCUCACUUGUAUGACAGUCACAUCAAAUAGUCAAAAUAUAUCAGUUUUGAGAAACGUAUAAUAGAUCUAGAAAAUCUGACCCUAAAUACAAUUCCACUGUCGACAAAUGGCCUAUUAUAUAAAUGAUAGGAGUACUGUGAUUAACAUUGAAUCUUACCAUACUACCUCUGCUUAUAUCAUUUUCAGUGUACUCAAGAUGGAUCCAUUUUAUCAUAGAACUAAAAAAACAAAUCCAAAUUAUAAUGAAUAACACAAGACCAAAAAUUUAUUUAGAAAAAAACAAUAGCCAAA
This 631-nucleotide long non-coding RNA is filed under the name Mytilus galloprovincialis (Mediterranean mussel). Lineage: Eukaryota; Metazoa; Mollusca; Bivalvia; Mytilida; Mytilidae. The record is from RNAcentral.